Molecule: long non-coding RNA, 244 nt
Filed under: Homo sapiens (human)
Lineage: Eukaryota; Metazoa; Chordata; Mammalia; Primates; Hominidae
Description: non-protein coding lnc-TMEM33-2:2
Source: RNAcentral
AAAAAGAACAUGCUCCUUUAGCUUGCAGGAGUUUUUUUUACCCAUCUGCUGAAACUUUCUUCUGUCAAUUCGUCAAACUCAUUCUCUGUCCAAAAGAACAUGCUCCUUUAGCUUGCAGGAGUUUUUUUUACCCAUCUGCUGAAACUUUCUUCUGUCAAUUCGUCAAACUCAUUCUCUGUCCAGUUUUGUUCCCUUGCUGGCAAGAAGUUGUGAUCCUUUGGAGGGAAGAGGUGUUCUGGUUUUU